This 253-nucleotide ribosomal RNA is filed under the name uncultured bacterium. Its description in RNAcentral is "partial 16S ribosomal RNA". It matches the Rfam family "Bacterial small subunit ribosomal RNA", at positions 524 to 776 of the family's 1533-position model. The record is from RNAcentral.
UACGAAGGAUUCGAGCGUUAUCCGGAUUUAUUGGGUUUAAAGGGUGCGUAGGUGGACUAAUAAGUCAGUGGUGAAAGCCCGCAGCUUAACUGCGGAACUGCCAUUGAUACUGUUAGUCUUGAGUACAGUUGAGGUGGGCGGAAUGUGUCAUGUAGCGGUGAAAUGCUUAGAUAUGACACAGAACACCGAUUGCGAAGGCAGCUCACUAAGCUGUAACUGACACUGAGGCACGAAAGCGUGGGGAGCAAACGGG